CGAGUAGGUGGCCAUCUAAGUCAGACGUGAAAUCCCCCGGCUUAACCUGGGAACUGCGUCUGAUACUGGACGGCUUGAGUAUGGGAGAGGGAUGUAGAAUUCCAGGUGUAGCGGUGAAAUGCGUAGAUAUCUGGAGGAAUACCGGUGGCGAAGGCGGCAUCCUGGACCGGCACUGACGCUGAGUGAGCGAAACGCCGAGGGGAGACCGGGAAACG
Molecule: ribosomal RNA, 215 nt
Filed under: uncultured bacterium
Lineage: Bacteria
Description: partial 16S ribosomal RNA
Rfam family: Bacterial small subunit ribosomal RNA (bases 3-184)
Source: RNAcentral